Molecule: non-coding RNA, 96 nt
Organism: Cerioporus squamosus
Lineage: Eukaryota; Fungi; Basidiomycota; Agaricomycetes; Polyporales; Polyporaceae
Source: the annotation of a GenBank genome assembly
GGCCUGGUGGUCUAGUAGUAUGAUUCCUUCUUAGGGUGCCGCACCGUCGGUAGCGUGAUUUGGAGGAGGUCCCGGGUUCAAUUCCCGGCCAGGCCC